Non-coding RNA from Pelobates cultripes (western spadefoot toad), 257 nucleotides. The record is from the annotation of a GenBank genome assembly. Lineage: Eukaryota; Metazoa; Chordata; Amphibia; Anura; Pelobatidae.
GGGAGGGGGUGACUAGUGACAGAGUGAGAGAGAGGGUGACUAGUGACAGAGUGAGGGAGGGGGUGACUAGUGACAGAGUGAAGGAGGUGGUGACUGUCACUAGUCACCCCCUCCCCUCCCUCACUCUGUCACUAGUCACCCCCUCCCUCUCUCUGUCACUAGUGACACCCUCCCUCACUCUGUCACUAGUCACACCCUUCCUAACUGUCACUAGUCACCCCCUCCCUCUCUCUGUCACUAGUCACACCCUCCCUCUC